This 963-nucleotide ribosomal RNA is filed under the name Wallemia sp. RNAcentral's name for it is "partial large subunit ribosomal RNA". It matches the Rfam family "Eukaryotic large subunit ribosomal RNA", at positions 34 to 981 of the family's 3401-position model. Lineage: Eukaryota; Fungi; Basidiomycota; Wallemiomycetes; Wallemiales; Wallemiaceae. The record is from RNAcentral.
CUAGCAUAUCAAUAAGCGGAGGAAAAGAAACUAACAAGGAUUCCCCUAGUAACGGCGAGUGAAGAGGGAAAAGCUCAAAUUUAAAAGCUGUUGUCUUUCAGGCAACCGCAUUGUAAUCUCAAGAAGUGUUUUCGAUUGUAGCCUGCGUAUAAGUACCUUGGAAUAGGUUGGCAUAGAGGGUGAAACUCCCGUCUUUGAUGCAGAUUACUAUGAUCAUGUGAUACACUUUCUAAGAGUCGAGUUGUUUGGGAAUGCAGCUCAAAAUGGGUGGUAAAUUCCAUCUAAAGCUAAAUAUUGGCCUGAGACCGAUAGCGAACAAGUACCGUGAGGGAAAGAUGAAAAGCACUUUGGAAAGAGAGUCAAACAGAACGUGAAAUUGCUGAAAGGGAAGCGUUUGAAGUUAGUCUGAUAGGAGUUGUUCAAUUGUUACUUUGGUUUCAAUGUAUGCAACUUUUUAUCGGUCAACAUCAAUUUUGAUUGAUGGAUAAAGGUAAUAGGAAUGUGGCUACAAUUUGUAGUGUUAUAGCCUAUUAUCAUAAACAUUGAUUGAGAUUGAGGACGGCAGUGUACCUUUUAGGAAGGUGUUCGCACCUAUUACACUAAGGAUGUUGACAAAAUAGCUUUAAGCGACCCGUCUUGAAACACGGACCAAGGAGUCUAACAUAUCUGCGAGUAUUUGAGUGACAAACUCGAAUGCGUAAUGAAAGUGAAUGUAGGUGUGAAGCGUAAGCUGCAACAUCGACCGAUCUGGAAUUUUUAUAAUGAUGGAUUUGAGUAAGAGCAUAUAUGUUGGGACCCGAAAGAUGGUGAACUAUGCCUGAAUAGGGUGAAGCCAGAGGAAACUCUGGUGGAGGCUCGUAGCGGUUCUGACGUGCAAAUCGAUCGUCAAAUUUGGGUAUAGGGGCGAAAGACUAAUCGAACCAUCUAGUAGCUGGUUCCUGCCGAGUUUCUCCCUCCAGAAAA